Molecule: ribosomal RNA, 971 nt
Filed under: uncultured organism
Description: bacterial SSU rRNA
Rfam family: Bacterial small subunit ribosomal RNA
Source: RNAcentral
AUAAGUCUCGGCUAACUAACGUGCCAGCAGCCGCGGUAAAACGUAGGAGGCGAGCGUUAUCCGGAUUUACUGGGUGUAAAGCGCGUGCAGGCGGCAGCGAAAGUCGAGCGUGAAAGCUCCCGGCUCAACCGGGAGAGGACGUGCGAAACUGCGCAGCUAGAGACAGGUAGAGGCGUACGGAAUUCCGGGGUGUAGUGGUGAAAUGCGUAGAUAUCCGGAGGAACACCAGUGGCGAAGGCGGUACGCUGGGCCUGGUCUGACGCUAAGACGCGAAAGCAUGGGGAGCGAACGGGAUUAGAAACCCCGGUAGUCCAUGCCGUAAACGAUGCUAACUAGGUGUUGCGGGUAAAAGACCGGCAGUGCCGGAGUUAACGCGAUAAGUUAGCCACCUGGGGACUACGGUCGCAAGGCUAAAACUCAGAGGAAUUGACGGGGGCCCGCACAAGCAGCGGAGCGUGUGGUUUAAUUCGAGGCUACACGAAGAACCUUACCUGGGCUUGACAUGGCGGUGGUAGGGAACCGAAAGGGGACCGACCUUCGGGAGCCGUCACAGGUGCUGCAUGGCUGUCGUCAGCUCGUGUCGUGAGAUGUUCGGUUAAGUCCGGUAACGAGCGCAACCCUCAUCGCUAGUUACAAGUGUCUAGCGAGACUGCCCGUUCAACGCGGGAGGAAGGCGGGGAUGACGUCAAGUCAGCAUGGCCUUUAUGUCCAGGGCUACACACACGCUACAGUGGCCGGUACAAUGGGUCGCCAACCCGCGAGGGGGAGCCAAUCCACCAAAGCCGGUCUCAGUUCGAAUUGUAGGCCGCAACUCGCCUGCAUGAAGUCGGAGUUGCUAGUAACCGCAGGUCAGCUAUACUGCGGUGAAUACGUUCCCGGGCCUUGUACACACCGCCCGUCACGUCAUGGGAGCUGGUCAUGCCUGAAGUCGGUGAGCUAACCGCAAGGAGGCAGCCGCCUAAGGCAGGGCU